Molecule: long non-coding RNA, 152 nt
Organism: Sinocyclocheilus rhinocerous
Lineage: Eukaryota; Metazoa; Chordata; Actinopteri; Cypriniformes; Cyprinidae
Exons: 3
Source: RefSeq, a predicted model, not a curated record
AACCCUGGAUCACCUCAAUCAGAUGGUGGGUGUGGAAUAUAUUUUGCUUCACGCACAGGAGCCGAUUCUGUACAUCAUCAGAAAACAGCAGAGACAGUCACCAACACAAGUGAUCCCUCUUGCUGACUACUAUAUCAUAGCUGGAGUGGUGU